This 492-nucleotide ribosomal RNA is filed under the name uncultured bacterium. Its description in RNAcentral is "partial 16S ribosomal RNA". It matches the Rfam family "Bacterial small subunit ribosomal RNA", at positions 29 to 507 of the family's 1533-position model. The record is from RNAcentral.
AGUGAACGCUGGCGGUAGGCCUAACACAUGCAAGUCGAACGGCAGCACAGUAAGAGCUUGCUCUUACGGGUGGCGAGUGGCGGACGAGUGAGGAAUACAUCGGAAUCUACUUUGUCGGGGGGGAUAACGGAGGGAAACUUACGCUAAUAACGCAUACGACCAACGGGUGAAAUCAGGGGAUCUUGGGAGCUUGCGCGAGUGAAUGAGACGAUGUCGGAUUAGCUAGUUGGCGGGGUAAAGGCGCACCAAGGCGACGAUCCGUAGCUGGUCUGAGAGGAGGAUCAGCCACACUGGAACUGAGACACGGUCCAGACUCCUACGGGAGGCAGCAGUGGGGAAUAUUGGACAAUGGGCGCAAGCCUGAUCCAGCCAUACCGCGUGGGUGAAGAAGGCCUUCGGGUUGUAAAUCCCUUUUGUUGGGAAAGAAAAGCAGCAGGUUAAUCCCCCGCUGUUCUGACGGUACCCAAAGAAUAAGCACCGGCUAACUUCGUG